Molecule: non-coding RNA, 388 nt
Organism: Phascolarctos cinereus (koala)
Lineage: Eukaryota; Metazoa; Chordata; Mammalia; Diprotodontia; Phascolarctidae
Source: RefSeq, a predicted model, not a curated record
AUAAAAGAAGAAACAAAAUUGUACAGAACUGCAAAAUGAAAGGAAUGAAGAGUAUCCAACUGGGGCUGGUUGCUUCCUAGGAUAUGAAAGUCCUCUGGAAUCUGACUACAUGAGGCUGCUGAUCAUCUUUUGUUUCCUGCUUCAUGGCGACUUUUCAACCAUAGCAACAGCUUGAGCAGGAAAGCCAUCACCCUCUCCAGCAGUAUGGGCUUCCCAGAGGACAUAGUUGCUCAAUCAAACCAAACCUCUGUAUAAAACAUGAGCAUGCACUGUGCACUGAAGAGCAUCUUUGGCCUUUGAAAAUCAGGUUUUUUGUCACCUGCGAUUGGACUAAAUUUCUGUGUGAGGUGGCACAAUGAACAGAGGACAAGGCCUGGAGUAAGGAAGA